This is a small nucleolar RNA of Lupinus angustifolius (narrow-leaved blue lupine), 140 nucleotides long. It matches the Rfam family "small nucleolar RNA snoR134". The record is from Rfam. Lineage: Eukaryota; Viridiplantae; Streptophyta; Magnoliopsida; Fabales; Fabaceae.
ACGCAUGUUGCAUCCCCGGGCUUCUCUGAUUUAUCGAUGACGCGAAAGCCCCAAUGCUCGUGCAAAAUUGUACGCCGUUCGUGUUGCAGUUUAGCCCUUUUUUCAUGGCUGUGUUCUGUGUCAAAGUAACUGCAAAAUUU